Molecule: ribosomal RNA, 253 nt
Filed under: uncultured bacterium
Lineage: Bacteria
Description: partial 16S ribosomal RNA
Rfam family: Bacterial small subunit ribosomal RNA
Source: RNAcentral
UACAGAGGGUGCAAGCGUUGUUCGGAAUUAUUGGGCGUAAAGGGUGCGUAGGCGGUUUGGUAAGUCUUAUGUGAAAUCUACAGGCUCAACUUGUAGUCUGCAUGAGAAACUGCCGGGCUUGAGUAUGGGAGAGGUGAGUGGAAUUCCUGGUGUAGCGGUGAAAUGCGUAGAUAUCAGGAGGAACACCAAUGGCGAAGGCAGCUCGCUGGGACGGUACUGACGCUGAGACGCGAAAGCGUGGGGAGCAAACAGG